AGAGUUUGAUCAUGGCUCAGAUUGAACGCUGGCGGCAGGCCUAACACAUGCAAGUCGAACGGUAGCAGGAAACAGCUUGCUGUUUCGCUGACGAGUGGCGGACGGGUGAGUAAUGUCUGGGAAACUGCCUGAUGGAGGGGGAUAACUACUGGAAACGGUAGCUAAUACCGCAUAACGUCGCAAGACCAAAGAGGGGGACCUUCGGGCCUCUUGCCAUCAGAUGUGCCCAGAUGGGAUUAGCUAGUAGGUGGGGUAACGGCUCACCUAGGCGACGAUCCCUAGCUGGUCUGAGAGGAUGACCAGCCACACUGGAACUGAGACACGGUCCAGACUCCUACGGGAGGCAGCAGUGGGGAAUAUUGCACAAUGGGCGCAAGCCUGAUGCAGCCAUGCCGCGUGUAUGAAGAAGGCCUUCGGGUUGUAAAGUACUUUCAGCGGGGAGGAAGGGAGUAAAGUUAAUACCUUUGCUCAUUGACGUUACCCGCAGAAGAAGCACCGGCUAACUCCGUGCCAGCAGCCGCGGUAAUACGGAGGGUGCAAGCGUUAAUCGGAAUUACUGGGCGUAAAGCGCACGCAGGCGGUUUGUUAAGUCAGAUGUGAAAUCCCCGGGCUCAACCUGGGAACUGCAUCUGAUACUGGCAAGCUUGAGUCUCGUAGAGGGGGGUAGAAUUCCAGGUGUAGCGGUGAAAUGCGUAGAGAUCUGGAGGAAUACCGGUGGCGAAGGCGGCCCCCUGGACGAAGACUGACGCUCAGGUGCGAAAGCGUGGGGAGCAAACAGGAUUAGAUACCCUGGUAGUCCACGCCGUAAACGAUGUCGACUUGGAGGUUGUGCCCUUGAGGCGUGGCUUCCGGAGCUAACGCGUUAAGUCGACCGCCUGGGGAGUACGGCCGCAAGGUUAAAACUCAAAUGAAUUGACGGGGGCCCGCACAAGCGGUGGAGCAUGUGGUUUAAUUCGAUGCAACGCGAAGAACCUUACCUGGUCUUGACAUCCACGGAAGUUUUCAGAGAUGAGAAUGUGCCUUCGGGAACCGUGAGACAGGUGCUGCAUGGCUGUCGUCAGCUCGUGUUGUGAAAUGUUGGGUUAAGUCCCGCAACGAGCGCAACCCUUAUCCUUUGUUGCCAGCGGUCCGGCCGGGAACUCAAAGGAGACUGCCAGUGAUAAACUGGAGGAAGGUGGGGAUGACGUCAAGUCAUCAUGCCCCUUACGACCAGGGCUACACACGUGCUACAAUGGCGCAUACAAAGAGAAGCGACCUCGCGAGAGCAAGCGGACCUCAUAAAGUGCGUCGUAGUCCGGAUUGGAGUCUGCAACUCGACUCCAUGAAGUCGGAAUCGCUAGUAAUCGUGGAUCAGAAUGCCACGGUGAAUACGUUCCCGGGCCUUGUACACACCGCCCGUCACACCAUGGGAGUGGGUUGCAAAAGAAGUAGGUAGCUUAACCUUCGGGAGGGCGCUUACCACUUUGUGAUUCAUGACUGGGG
This 1482-nucleotide ribosomal RNA is filed under the name metagenome. RNAcentral describes it as "bacterial SSU rRNA". It matches the Rfam family "Bacterial small subunit ribosomal RNA". The record is from RNAcentral.